Thamnophis elegans (Western terrestrial garter snake) is the source of this 470-nucleotide long non-coding RNA. RefSeq lists it as uncharacterized. The record is from RefSeq and is a predicted model, not a curated record. Lineage: Eukaryota; Metazoa; Chordata; Lepidosauria; Squamata; Natricidae. The transcript is spliced from 2 exons.
GUCUGACCUCAGGUGAAAGAUCUCUGGAUAAGCAACCAGAUUCGGUUUGGACAAUGGUUACGUUUGUAGAUUUGCACUGAGAUGGUCGACCACAUUUGUGACUUCAGACCAUGAGGCCAAAGAGUUGUCUUUGCAGAGUCAGGGGGAAAAAUAAUUCCUAUCCUGUGUAAACACAAAUGCAGUAGGGUGGACCAGAUUCUGCUGACUCUGAACAAGCUUUCAACAAUCAAAUGCUUUUUUUAAUUAUUAUUUUUUGCUGUCUCCAUAUGCAAAAUCAGACUUGGAAGUAGCCAACAAUGAUAUCAUCUCCAGGAGAUCAGAGCUGAAAUGAAGCAUCUCCUCAAAAUCUCCGUCAUUGGCCAGGAAUUGAGGAUCAACGCUACAGGAUCCAAUCUGGGCUGGUCAGAUUGAUCAGUGUGUUCUGGGUGUAUGUAUACUGAGGAACAGGGAGACAUAGUGGUACAUGUGAA